RNAcentral lists this ribosomal RNA (422 nucleotides) under uncultured Gigasporaceae. RNAcentral describes it as "SSU rRNA". It matches the Rfam family "Eukaryotic small subunit ribosomal RNA", at positions 459 to 886 of the family's 1831-position model. The record is from RNAcentral. Lineage: Eukaryota; Fungi; Glomeromycota; Glomeromycetes; Diversisporales; Gigasporaceae.
GGGAGGUAGUGACAAUAAAUAACAAUACAGGGCUCUUACGGGUCUUGUAAUUGGAAUGAGUACAAUUUAAAUCUCUUAACGAGGAACAAUUGGAGGGCAAGUCUGGUGCCAGCAGCCGCGGUAAUUCCAGCUCCAAUAGCGUAUAUUAAAGUUGUUGCAGUUAAAAAGCUCGUAGUUGAAUUUCGGGAUUCUUCCGUUGGUCAGGCUAACCAGUCUGUACUAGCGUGUAGAAUUCCUACCUUCUGGGGAACCAUCAUGUUAUUAAUUUAGCGUGGUGGGAAACCAGGACCUUUACCUUGAAAAAAUUAGAGUGUUCAAAGCAGGCUUACGUCUGAAUACAUUAGCAUGGAAUAAUAAAAUAGGACGGUGGUCCUGUUUUGUUGGUUUCUGAAUCACCGUAAUGAUUAAUAGGGAUAGUUGGG